This 593-nucleotide small RNA is filed under the name Arabidopsis thaliana (thale cress). RNAcentral's name for it is "ATSL166550". The record is from RNAcentral. Lineage: Eukaryota; Viridiplantae; Streptophyta; Magnoliopsida; Brassicales; Brassicaceae.
CCUUCCUCAUUCAUCGGAGAGCUCUCUUUGGGCUUUCCGAAAAGGUAUCACAUGUCAAGUUUGGCCUCACGGUCUUAAAGUUAUAGAGUCAUACAUUUUUAACAAAACAAAAAGAGGGAUGACACACGAGGACUUUCCUUGAAGUCACCCAUCCUAGUAAUACUCUCACCCAAGCACGCUUAACUGUAGAGUUCUGAUGGGAUAUGGUGCAUUAGUGCUGGUAUGAUCGCAUCUGUAACUACAUGCAAUGCAAUCGUAUCUAUUCUUUUUUGAAGACUUUAUGAUCGAUUUGCCGUGGGUCCCACCAGCUAUGUAGGAAUACCCUAUCUUGUUUAUAAGAGCUUUGAUACAUGCAAAAUAUACGAAAACAAUGUCCGUACAUAUAAUUUUUGCCCCGUAAUAUAGCAAAGAUUACGAAAAGGCCCGAAAAAGUACAUUAAGGUCAAAAUUUGGAGUAGAAAAAAAAACUAUAGAAGAAUUCCAUUUUCCUUCCUAAUUCAUCGGAGAGCUCUCUUUGGGUUUUCCGAAAAGGUAUCACAUGCCAAGUUUGGCCUCACGGUCUAAAAGUUCUAGAGUCAUACAAUUUUGACAAA